Molecule: long non-coding RNA, 2288 nt
Filed under: Mus musculus (house mouse)
Lineage: Eukaryota; Metazoa; Chordata; Mammalia; Rodentia; Muridae
Description: long non-coding RNA chr16:6576032-6578320
Source: RNAcentral
GGGACACAAACUCAAGAACAAGCUCACAAUUAAAAGUUAAAAUCUAGGACCCUCUGGUGGACACUUAGCUGAUUCAAACUGAAGCAUAAGUCUGGGGCUUGCAUCUAUUGCAUUCAUGGAUCCACAUAGGGUGUAUGCCCAGUGCCUGCUCUUAGCCCGAUCAUUUCGCUUGUUCCAGUUAGCAGCACCAUUCUGCUUCCUUGGAUUGAUGUGACAGAGUGGGAGAAAGGCACAUUGCCUUGGCUGCUGCUGUCCUGCCUUGAUUGAGCUCCCUGUGCUAAAGGGAUUUUGAGCUGAGCCCAGUUUUCUUGAUGAUAUGGUUUCAGUCAUUUGUCAUAAGAUCAUUCCAACGAAGCUGUUGACUAACUUGAAUACUUAAUUACUGAAGGAGAGAGGCUGCAUGUGUGUGAAUCUCCAGUCCUUUCUACUGGGUUAUCUGUCAGGACUGACCACUUCUGGGUAGUUUAUGCAUUACAGUGUUGAAUUAUAGAUAGAUAGAUAGAUAGAUAGAUAGAUAGAUAGAUAGAUAGAUAGAUAGAUAGAUGAUUGAUAGGUAGGUAGAAAAAUGCAUAAGUAGAUAAAUAGAUAAAAUGAAGAGAGCCAUGCAACAUCCAUACUACCCUGAAGCAUAAUAAACAAACAAACAAACAAACAAACAAACAAAGCCACCAUUUCAUCUACACAUUCUUCAGUGAGCAAAGACUGCUUCCUUUGAGAUCAUGGCUGCCUUUUCUUUGAACAGAAAUCGAUGGCACUCAGGCAAUUGCAGCCAUGAAGGCUUCUCUGCAGUGGUUUCUAACCUGACACUCACCUGAUUUCUUUGGGUCAGCUCUGCGGGGAUGCCUUGCUGAUGUUCUCUCAUCUUUGUAGCCUUGAUCCAAAUUGCAUUAGUGGCAUUUGAUAUAAUUGUCUCACAGAAAAGUUUAGCUAAAUGGACCAUAAAUGUAUUGUGGAUGCAGAAUCAUCUUAGGGUCAUUUGUUUGAAUGUCACAGUGGAGAGUUUAGGGGUCUAUGUCCUUCUUCCCUGGGGACUGACUGCAUCCUUCCCAGAACAUGUUUACCACUUCAGCCCCUUCUCAUUUUGAGAAAAAUUAAGACAUGCAUCUUGUCUUCAUUCCUCCUGCCCACCAUUGCCCACCAUUGAUUCACAUAAAACAUUUUUGUGUGAUAACUGGCCUCAACUAACACACUAGCACUUGCCAUUUGUGACAUCCUGUUGAAUAUUUAAGGAGAUGGAGAGAGAGAGAGAGAGAGAGAGAGAGAGAGAGAGAGAGAGGAAAAAUAUGUUUUCAUGCAAAGAUAACCUGUCAGAAUGCCUUAAAUAUUUACUGUGGUUUUGAUAUUUCAUUUAUCUCAGUCACAGGGCAUAUGUAUCAGUUCAAAUUUUCAUGGUAGUAUACUGAGGCACUUCCCCUAUACCACUAUUCCUAUUACUAGAUAAUUCUUUUUUAUUAAGAAUCAGCUGCUCAACAUGCCCUCUGCACUGAGCAUCACUGCCCUCUCCUCCCUUCUCCUAACUCUUGGCCUUCUUCAGAGAUGUAAUCCUUAAAGCCAUCUGGAUUCUUUCAAAACUGCCAAAGGGGCAAUUGACCUUUGGAGGAGGGAUGGCUUGAACCUGCGGCUGGUGCACUCUGGGCACUCCAAGAAAUCCUCCAUAGUGAGACCCAGAGGGGUAAUGUGCAGCAUGUUUCAGACUGUGAACGGGGGCUAGGCAGAGCCCACUUCUGCACCAAACUACCUUGUAAAGGACACUGUACAGGGAGGCCCCACAGGAGCUUCCACCCAGGACCUCUGCCUUCAGCUAGCCUCCUUAAAGCUUCUCCAGUGUGACAUGUUUUUAUCCUCAUAACCAUAACCUUUAAAACUGAAGCUUCUGCAAGGAUUAAGUAAAACAAAAUAUAUUGACAUCUCCAUAUACAUUUUAUUUAGUAAUUAUGUCACAGAGCAAUUACUACCUUGAAUUAUCUAUCCUACACAUGGUUCAAAAGACUUCCUUCAGGGGCUUGUAGAUGGUUCAAUAAGUAAAACAUUUGCUGCACUGGUGUGAGUAUUUGAAUUCAGAUUCCAGACUCUAUGUAUAAUCAGAUGAAGAGGUGGACAUCUGUAAUUCCAUUGCAAUAUGGGAGUUGGAGAUAUAAAUAUCAUUACAAACUGUGGGUCAUCUAACUUUGCAUAAACAGCAGAAUACAACAAAGGGCCCUCUCUUAUACAAUGUAUAAGGCAAGGUAUAAAGCAUCCAAGGUUAUCCUGUGACCUGUAUGCCUGGGCACAUGUGCCCACAUUCACUC